AUCUGUGCUUGCCCAGGAAUUUGCCUCGCCUCUCAGUAGUACAGAAGACACUUGAAUCAUACACAGCUUUGAAGUGCUUGUUGAGCUGAAACCCCCACUGAGAGAUCAGACAUUCCUCUGCUGAGGGUCUUCAGCCAUGCACAGCUUUCAGAGGGGGAUGUUCUGGCUCUGGCUGAAGUGAUGAUAGAGAAGAAGGUUAUUACUUGAAAACAAGGAGGGCUCUAACUCAGCAUUACUGCUAAACACAGUGACUUGUGAUCCUGCCAGUCGUGUGCCAAAUGGACUCCCGUUUUCCAAAGGACUUAACAGCUGAAAUGAAAUUGGGAAGGAAAUUUAGGCUCUAAAGCCUGUGAUGUUUUGCUUCUCCUACUGUACAGUGAAUGCCACUAGAAUUUGGGAUGCCUUUGUCCAGGUUUCUCAGCUCAUACUGAUGUCUUGUGGAAUGGAGGGCACCCACACUUCAUUCAGUCUUCAGGAAACUCCUGCAUCUACAGAUAAAGGUAUAUAUGUGUGCUGGGAUAUUAUACAACAGCUGUUUUUGAAGGGACAGAUCUACCCAAUACAUUUCUGUGGAAACCAAGGAUGCAUUGGUGUAUGUGGACUAUGGCCAGGAAAGAAACAGGAUCCAGAACUGGUGUUUAAAAAACAUCUAGAAAUAUGA
This 661-nucleotide long non-coding RNA is filed under the name Phasianus colchicus (ring-necked pheasant). RNAcentral's name for it is "lncRNA (ENSPCLG00000005231.1)". Lineage: Eukaryota; Metazoa; Chordata; Aves; Galliformes; Phasianidae. The record is from RNAcentral.